CUUGAUCAGGCCCCGAAAUAACUGAAAUGUGGUUAAUUAGCAGCAGAUCGAGCCCUAUUUUUGGCCCUUGAAAGGACAAAGUGAAUCCUGCCCGGAGGGCGUAGCACGCUCUGGGAAGCUCCGGGAGGGAACAAACACAAACAGGGAGCAAAACAGUUUCAUUACUCGCAGAAGUUAUGCAGGCAGCAAAGUUUGUUUUGCAACUAAUUAAGACUUCAUGCAAAGAGGGUGUCACAUCCUCCAGGCGCUUCGGGGACGUGUAUAAAAGCAUUUGCUACGUAGAAGCCUCCCUAAUCACUUUUCUUUUCCUCUCCUCCUUGGGUGAUCCGGCUCUACCCUGCCCCAUGUCUCCCUUCCACGAGUGCUGCCUACCCGCGGGCCUGGCGUGCCCCGAGCCCUUCGCCGUCACCCGCAGCGACACCUGCGUCAUCAAGUACCCCGACACCGUGGUGGACAUCGUGGAGCCCGACUUUCCCCCCUACUCCGUCAUCUACCCCGGGCCCACGCUGACCACCUUCCCCCAGCAGACCCUGGUGGGCUCCACGGCCCUGCUGGACAUCAGGAACUUCCUGGGCUCCCAGGGAUUCCAUGGGUUCGGGGGCCAACCUAAACCCUGCCUGGAUAUCUGUGGAUAGACUGAAAAGCACAACUGAGCAGUCAGACAGAGCCCGACUAAAGUUUGUGGAUAAUGGAUUGUAGAAGUGCCGAGCUCCCGAGGUUCCCAUGGAGUCCAUAAAUCCAGGGAUUCCUGGCACUAGACCUGCCCGAGGACCAGAAUUUUCAAACUCUGAGAAAACUGAAAUUUUUCUAUUGACUUCAUUCCAAAUUAGGACAAACCAAAGCCCAGAAUUUUCCAAGAAACCAGAUUUUAAAAAAAAAUUAUCUCCUUUUUUUUUUCUUUUUUUUUUUUUUUUUUUUUUGGUUUGCUAAGAGUUUCUUGUCAAUAAAUUCGUUUUUAUGCCAACA
Molecule: long non-coding RNA, 966 nt
Filed under: Serinus canaria (Common canary)
Lineage: Eukaryota; Metazoa; Chordata; Aves; Passeriformes; Fringillidae
Description: lncRNA (ENSSCAG00000011049.1)
Source: RNAcentral